AGUGGCCAAAGGUGGCGCCAUGCAUGUGACGUGCUAGGUGGCCUUUACAUGGUGCGGCACAUGGAGCCAUGUAAUCGGAUGGGCAUUAUAUUGAGAUAGUGGGGCGCCUCAUGGUGCUACAUAAGCCAUCCAAUAGGAAAUCACGUGGUGCAGCGCAUGGAACAAAUUCCAUUACGUGCAUGGGCCAUGCAAAGCGUGAAUUUAAAGUGACCAAGGGCUGGUGGAGCGCAGGUGAACGUCCAAGGUGAGCAGCACGUGAACCCAAGAAAUUGAACAUGCAUGAUGACAAGUGUGACCAGCCCAUGUGGGCGCAUGCAUGGUGAAACAGCCCAUGGACCAAGCACUUACGUGCAUGAGGAAAUUGGACCAGCCAUGCAACGUGAAAAAUGGGAUAGUGCAGUCCAUAUGGACACAUGGGCCAGCAGAUGGACCAACAAUUGGCGCCUCAAUUUCCCUCCUCCAAUUCAAAUGCUACGGGUGGUUGGUGAGCAGGCCAUACCUCCCGCUCCCCUUUGUCCUUCACGCCACCUGCUCCCACUCAUUAAUUAUUUUAAUUGUUGCCAUGUAAAUUCAGCCACACGUGGGGACUCACAAGGGACAGCCGGCCAAGCUUGUAUAUAAAAGGGACUUUGUUCCCAUUUCUUGCACGUAGAGAGAGUGUGAGCUUGAGUGAGUUGAGCGGCAGCACCAUUGUUUGAGAGUUGAGAGUUUUUCCUUUGGCAAAUGUAUAGCUUUGUGUAAAGGAAUAAAAGAAGUAGCUUUCUACUUCGUAAACCCUUGUCUCUACCUUUCUUUAUGCUUGUUGUGGAUGCAUGGUUGUCUUUGUGUUGAUUGGUGCGCAUUGUGGGAUUGUUGCUUGCCUUGUGACCGUGUAUGGUUGUUAGAAGCUUGAGGUUGUCUUGCGUGAAUGGUGGCUUAUUGCUUGAAGUUGAGCUUGAGCCAUUGUUGAGGUAAGUAACUUGAUUGCCUUGCCACCGUGAAUAUCAUUGUUGCUUGCUAAUUGUUAUUGUGCGCAUGGUGUUGAGUUUGGGACUCUUGUGCGUGACCUUCAUUUAUUGUUGCCUUGCGUGAUUGUUGGACCCUCGUUGCGGUUUGGAAUACUUGUGGUUGGGUAUUAUUGCGUGAGGAGACUUACUUGUUGCUUGGUGAUGAUUCGGCCAUUAUAAUUCUUUGUUGUGUAAUUGUUAUUGCCGUGUGACUCCUUGUAGUGAGGUUAGUGGUGAUUUCGGCCAUUGUAAUUCCUUGUGAAGAAUUAUUGCCGUGGGAACUCUUGUUGUUUGGUUGUGGCCGUGAGCUUUGGGGUGACUUGGUAUUGGGUCAUUGUCGUGAGGUUCUAGUGCAAGAGUUGUGGCCGUGAGACAUUUUGUCUUUGGAGGGGUUGCCGUGUGAACCUUUGGUGCAAGGUGUGGUAACCGUGUGAUCCGUGGGACAAUUUGAGAGGCUGACUUGUUGGUGGAACAAGUGCCGCACGGGUUUGG
RNAcentral lists this unclassified non-coding RNA (1478 nucleotides) under Hevea brasiliensis (rubber tree). The record is from RNAcentral. Lineage: Eukaryota; Viridiplantae; Streptophyta; Magnoliopsida; Malpighiales; Euphorbiaceae.